RNAcentral lists this ribosomal RNA (853 nucleotides) under Proteus mirabilis. RNAcentral describes it as "partial 23S ribosomal RNA". It matches the Rfam family "Bacterial large subunit ribosomal RNA", at positions 333 to 1190 of the family's 2925-position model. Lineage: Bacteria; Pseudomonadati; Pseudomonadota; Gammaproteobacteria; Enterobacterales; Morganellaceae. The record is from RNAcentral.
GAGAACGGUCUGGAAAGUCCGGCAGUAAAGGGUGAUAGCCCCGUAUCUGAAGAUGCUGUUAUUGUGAACUCGACGAGUAGGGCGGGACACGUGUUAUCCUGUCUGAAUAUGGGGGGACCAUCCUCCAAGGCUAAAUACUCCUGAUUGACCGAUAGUGAACCAGUACCGUGAGGGAAAGGCGAAAAGAACCCCGGCGAGGGGAGUGAAAAAGAACCUGAAACCGUGUACGUACAAGCAGUAGGAGCCUCUUUAUGGGGUGACUGCGUACCUUUUGUAUAAUGGGUCAGCGACUUAUAUUCUGUAGCAAGGUUAACCGUAUAGGGGAGCCGUAGGGAAACCGAGUCUUAACUGGGCGAAUGAGUUGCAGGGUAUAGACCCGAAACCCGGUGAUCUAUCCAUGGGCAGGUUGAAGGUUGGGUAACACUAACUGGAGGACCGAACCGACUAAUGUUGAAAAAUUAGCGGAUGACUUGUGGAUGGGGGUGAAAGGCCAAUCAAACCGGGAGAUAGCUGGUUCUCCCCGAAAGCUAUUUAGGUAGCGCCUCGUGAACUCAUCUUCGGGGGUAGAGCACUGUUUCGACUAGGGGGUCAUCCCGACUUACCAACUCGAUGCAAACUGCGAAUACCGAAGAAUGUUAUCACGGGAGACACACGGCGGGUGCUAACGUCCGUCGUGAAGAGGGAAACAACCCAGACCGCCAGCUAAGGUCCCAAAGUCAUGGUUAAGUGGGAAACGAAGUGGGAAGGCUCAGACAGCCAGGAUGUUGGCUUAGAAGCAGCCAUCAUUUAAAGAAAGCGUAAUAGCUCACUGGUCGAGUCGGCCCGCGCGGAAGAUGUAACGGGGCUAAACCAU